GACGAACGCUGGCGGCGUGCCUAAUACAUGCAAGUCGAACGCUGAAGGAGGAGCUUGCUUCUCUGGAUGAGUUGCGAACGGGUGAGUAACGCGUAGGUAACCUGCCUGGUAGCGGGGGAUAACUAUUGGAAACGAUAGCUAAUACCGCAUAAUAGCAGUUGUUGCAUGAUAACUGUUUGAAAGGUGCAAUUGCACCACUACCAGAUGGACCUGCGUUGUAUUAGCUAGUUGGUGGGGUAACGGCUCACCAAGGCGACGAUACAUAGCCGACCUGAGAGGGUGAUCGGCCACACUGGGACUGAGACACGGCCCAGACUCCUACGGGAGGCAGCAGUAGGGAAUCUUCGGCAAUGGACGGAAGUCUGACCGAGCAACGCCGCGUGAGUGAAGAAGGUUUUCGGAUCGUAAAGCUCUGUUGUAAGAGAAGAACGAGUGUGAGAGUGGAAAGUUCACACUGUGACGGUAGCUUACCAGAAAGGGACGGCUAACUACGUG
Molecule: ribosomal RNA, 495 nt
Filed under: uncultured bacterium
Lineage: Bacteria
Description: partial 16S ribosomal RNA
Rfam family: Bacterial small subunit ribosomal RNA
Source: RNAcentral